GAGAUAUAAGAAACCGUCUCUUAACUUUUAACUAAAAACAGUAAGGACCGGCUAUUAAAUAUCUUAUUUAAGAGCCGAUAUUUAAGAGCCGGCUCUUAGCUUUUUUAGUUUAAAAUUAAGAGACGGUUUUUUAUAUCUG
This 139-nucleotide microRNA precursor is filed under the name Brassica carinata (Ethiopian mustard). Its description in RNAcentral is "MIR9563 microRNA precursor family". It matches the Rfam family "MIR9563 microRNA precursor family". The record is from Rfam by way of RNAcentral. RNAcentral also lists the same sequence under 1 other name. Lineage: Eukaryota; Viridiplantae; Streptophyta; Magnoliopsida; Brassicales; Brassicaceae.